This 497-nucleotide ribosomal RNA is filed under the name uncultured bacterium. RNAcentral describes it as "partial 16S ribosomal RNA". It matches the Rfam family "Bacterial small subunit ribosomal RNA", at positions 28 to 507 of the family's 1533-position model. The record is from RNAcentral.
GAUGAACGCUGGCGGCGUGCCUAAUACAUGCAGGUCGAGCGAACAGACGAGGAGCUUACUCCUUUGACGUUAGCGGCGGACGGGUGAGUAACACGUGGGUAACCUACCUAUAAGACUGGGAUAACUUCGGGAAACCGGAGCUAAUACCGGAUAAUAUUUCGAACCGCAUGGUUCGAUAGUGAAAGAUGGCUUUGCUAUCACUUAUAGAUGGACCUGCGCCGUAUUAGCUAGUUGGUAAGGUAACGGCUUACCAAGGCAACGAUACGUAGCCGACCUGAGAGGGUGAUCGGCCACACUGGAACCGAGACACGGUCCAGACUCCUACGGGAGGCAGCAGUAGGGAAUCUUCCGCAAUGGGCGAAAGCCUGACGGAGCAACGCCGCGUGAGUGAUGAAGGUCUUCGGAUCGUAAAACUCUGUUAUUAGGGAAGAACAAACGUGUAAGUAACUGUGCACGUCUUGACGGUACCUAAUCAGAAAGCCACGGCUAACUACGUG